UACUCCUACGGGAGGCAGCAGUGGGGAAUUUUGCGCAAUGGGCGAAAGCCUGACGCAGUAACGCCACGUGGAGGAUGAAGGCCUUCGGGUCGUAAACUCCUGUCAGGGGGAACGACGGGUCUAGGGGAAACACUCCUGGAUUCCAGACGGUACCUCCAAAGGAAGCCCCGGCUAACUCCGUG
RNAcentral lists this ribosomal RNA (182 nucleotides) under uncultured bacterium. RNAcentral describes it as "partial 16S ribosomal RNA". It matches the Rfam family "Bacterial small subunit ribosomal RNA", at positions 334 to 507 of the family's 1533-position model. The record is from RNAcentral.